This 451-nucleotide ribosomal RNA is filed under the name Salmonella enterica. RNAcentral describes it as "bacterial SSU rRNA". It matches the Rfam family "Bacterial small subunit ribosomal RNA", at positions 1 to 448 of the family's 1533-position model. The record is from RNAcentral. Lineage: Bacteria; Pseudomonadati; Pseudomonadota; Gammaproteobacteria; Enterobacterales; Enterobacteriaceae. RNAcentral also lists the same sequence under 1 other name.
AAAUUGAAGAGUUUGAUCAUGGCUCAGAUUGAACGCUGGCGGCAGGCCUAACACAUGCAAGUCGAACGGUAACAGGAAGCAGCUUGCUGCUUUGCUGACGAGUGGCGGACGGGUGAGUAAUGUCUGGGAAACUGCCUGAUGGAGGGGGAUAACUACUGGAAACGGUGGCUAAUACCGCAUAACGUCGCAAGACCAAAGAGGGGGACCUUCGGGCCUCUUGCCAUCAGAUGUGCCCAGAUGGGAUUAGCUGGUUGGUGAGGUAACGGCUCACCAAGGCGACGAUCCCUAGCUGGUCUGAGAGGAUGACCAGCCACACUGGAACUGAGACACGGUCCAGACUCCUACGGGAGGCAGCAGUGGGGAAUAUUGCACAAUGGGCGCAAGCCUGAUGCAGCCAUGCCGCGUGUAUGAAGAAGGCCUUCGGGUUGUAAAGUACUUUCAGCGGGGAGGA